CCUACGGGAGGCAGCAGUGGGGAAUAUUGGACAAUGGGCGAAAGCCUGAUCCAGCCAUGCCGCGUGUGUGAAGAAGGCCUUCGGGUUGUAAAGCACUUUCAGUGGGGAAGAAAGCCUUGGGGCUAAUACCCUCGAGGAAGGACAUCACCCACAGAAGAAGCACCGGCUAACUCCGUGCCAGCAGCCGCGGUAAUACGGAGGGUGCGAGCGUUAAUCGGAAUUACUGGGCGUAAAGCGCGCGUAGGCGGUCUGAUAAGCCGGUUGUGAAAGCCCCGGGCUCAACCUGGGAACGGCAUCCGGAACUGUCAGGCUAGAGUGCAAGAGAGGAAGGUAGAAUUCCCGGUGUAGCGGUGAAAUGCGUAGAGAUCGGGAGGAAUACCAGUGGCGAAGGCGGCCUUCUGGACUGACACUGACGCUGAGGUGCGAAAGCGUGGGUAGCAAACAGGAUUAGAUACCCGGGUAGUC
This 465-nucleotide ribosomal RNA is filed under the name Vreelandella stevensii. RNAcentral's name for it is "partial 16S ribosomal RNA". It matches the Rfam family "Bacterial small subunit ribosomal RNA", at positions 338 to 795 of the family's 1533-position model. The record is from RNAcentral. Lineage: Bacteria; Pseudomonadati; Pseudomonadota; Gammaproteobacteria; Oceanospirillales; Halomonadaceae.